RNAcentral lists this ribosomal RNA (469 nucleotides) under uncultured bacterium. RNAcentral describes it as "bacterial SSU rRNA". It matches the Rfam family "Bacterial small subunit ribosomal RNA", at positions 335 to 796 of the family's 1533-position model. The record is from RNAcentral.
ACUCCUACGGGAGGCAGCAGUGGGGAAUCUUGGACAAUGGGGGCAACCCUGAUCCAGCCAUGCCGCGUGUGUGAAGAAGGCCUUCGGGUUGUAAAGCACUUUCAGUCGGGAGGAAGGCUUUGGCUUAAUACGCUGAAGUACUUGACGUUACCGACAGAAGAAGCACCGGCUAAUUUCGUGCCAGCAGCCGCGGUAAUACGAAAGGUGCGAGCGUUAAUCGGAAUUACUGGGCGUAAAGCGCGCGUAGGCGGUUUGUUAAGUUAGAUGUGAAAGCCCCGGGCUCAACCUGGGAACUGCAUUUAAAACUGGCAGGCUAGAGUGCAGUAGAGGGAGGUGGAAUUUCCGGUGUAGCGGUGAAAUGCGUAGAGAUCGGAAGGAACACCAGUGGCGAAGGCGGCCUCCUGGACUGACACUGACGCUGAGGUGCGAAAGCGUGGGGAGCAAACAGGAUUAGAUACCCCUGUAGUCC